UCCUAAAUGCUGGGAUUACAGGAAUAGG
This 28-nucleotide non-coding RNA is filed under the name Rattus norvegicus (Norway rat). The record is from RNAcentral. Lineage: Eukaryota; Metazoa; Chordata; Mammalia; Rodentia; Muridae.